Molecule: RNA transcript, 3473 nt
Organism: Silurus meridionalis
Lineage: Eukaryota; Metazoa; Chordata; Actinopteri; Siluriformes; Siluridae
Exons: 7
Source: RefSeq, a predicted model, not a curated record
AGAAAAAAAGGGGUGUUUGUCUAGUUUCUGUUUCCUGUACACUCAUGUACACUUUUCUUUAGAAGCAAACAACUGCAAUGACACGGCAAAAAUAAAAUAUUUGAGACUUGAUGGCAUUCCAAAUACAAUUACCAUUUCCACUUGCGGUGGCAGUUCCUGUUCAAGUUGAGCCAAGAACAACAAGUCCAUUAAUACAAUGCAUAGUUGACAACAAACUGAAGAAACUGAAGAAACUUGUAAGAGGUGUAAAUAUUAACGGACUGUACUCUUCUGCAAUCUGGAAUGAUGACGUUUCUCUACUGACGGCAGCAACUGUAUGUGGGAAUGAGGAGAUUUGUAACUUUCUACUGGGAGAAAAUGGAGAUCCCAACAUAACGUCUGCAAAUGGCCUCACACCUCUGCAUUAUGCUGCCAUUACACCGGGAGUUCCACCGCAUAUUGUGAGAAGAUUAUUAGCUGCAAAAGCUAAUCCAGAUGGUCACAAAGAAUGUUGUUUUACACCAUUACAAUUUGCUGCCAGUAAGGACAGACUGGACAUGUUCCAAGUACUUCUAGAAGCUGGUGCUGACCCUGGAAGAAAUUAUGGGUUUAACUCUGAUUUUGAUAACAAAGUAGAAACUCUUAUUAAUAAUUUACCAGCAGAAAAUGCUGCUGUAAAGAAAUGCAGAAUGUUUUUCAAUUUUACUGCAAUGGUUCCCAAAAAAUCUCAGCCAGAGGUUAUCCAUUUCUUCAAGGAACAUUUUCUUGAGGAACAUCCUAUUAAUCAUCUUGUACUUUUUGAACUAUAUAAUAAUGUAACUGGCAGAUCACAGGAACAAUAUCGGCAAAGUAGCAUAAAGUGGAUGAGAGACUCCAUGAAAUCCGAGAUCUACAUCAAUGGAUUUAUCAAACGCUUUCCCAAAAUUUCAAUGGAACACAGGAUUUUUGCUAUGAGCAGCUUACAUGCUGUAAUUUGCAUGAUGAAAGAAAUAUCCCCUGAGAUAUUUAAUGGGAUCGUACCCAUUGUGAUCAAAUGCUUUCAGCCAACUAAUACAGUGCAGGGAAAUAUAUUUAAUCAUCCUACACUAAGUACUCUUUGUGUGACCAUGGACAAGUUCUCAAAACAAAAACCUGCUGCUGAUGGUCUUAACUAUGUUGUUCUUGAAGAGUUAUGCAAUGCAAUUAUGCCUUUCACCAAUCCUGACUGCUCAACAGAUAUCAGCAUUCUUACUUACCAUUUGUUUGCUGCUCUAUAUGAAUUUGUCCCAGAGCACAUUAAGUCACGUGGAUUAACCUCAGUGCCUGAUGAGGUUCUUUUUGUAGUAGACGUAGGAACAGAUGACGUACUCAAAGAGAAACUGCAAAAACUGGACACAAAUCUCAGAUGUCCUCAAAGCCCAGUGACUGGAAGUAUUUUAGAUGAUGCAGGAGAGAGCAAGUCAUCAACAAAGUCAAAAAAGAAGAAGAAGAAGAAAAAAAAGAAAGCCAUUCAGCAAGAAACAAGCUCAAAAGAUGAUGCUGUACAAGCAUUAAAACUUAAUUCAGAGACUGCAAAAACCUCAGUUCAAGAGUCCACUGUGCGCCCAUUUACAGCAUGCACGGAUGAUAUACCAGUGCCAAGAAAAUGGCAUUCAAUCAGCCAACGCUGGAAGCCCAAACUAGAGAAACUGGCUAGCAUGGAAGCAAGUAACAUUUAUCACCUGGGGAACCUUACCAUUAGUGAAAGCGCAGAAUUUGAGAUAGCUAAAGGAAGUGAUGGAACACGGGUUUUUCUUGGACUGAGGGAUGAUGGCACUGAGGUAGCUGUCAAGCGAAUGUUAAAGUCCAAUUAUCAAGAUUUAAAAAAUGAAGAGGAAUUUCUACGCCUUCCUGAGCUUGACAAUCCUUCUAUUGUCCGAUAUGUGGACUUUGCAGAGGAUGACAAAUUUGGAUAUCUUGUCCUUCAACUUUGUGAAUACACAUUGGAGGAAUACAUUCAGAACCAUUUGCCAGAAGACAGUUCACAGCAGCUAAAGGUCCUGAAGAAAAUUGUAAAAGAAGUGCUCUGUAGCCUGAAGGUUCUCCAGAGCCAAAAUACUAAAGUGCUUCAUCGAGACAUCAAACCUCAAAAUGUUCUGAUUGAUAUAACUGGAAAGGCGAGAUUAGCUGAUUUUGGCAUAAGUCGAAGGCUGAAGUUGGAAGAGACGACUUGCCGCACUAAUGCUGCUGGAACAAAAUGUUGGAAACCCAGCGAAACUGUUGAUGAGGACAGUAACCGUGGCUACAAGAGGAGUUCUGAUAUUCAGGUUGCGGGAAUGUUGAUGUAUUACAUCCUCUCUUGUGGACAUCAUCCAUUUGGCAAAGGUGUCCGGUGUGAACUUAAUAUUUUUGAAGGGAAAUAUUCUUUGGAACACUUGGAGGAUGAACUGGUGAUAGACCUAGUGGAAUGGAUGAUCAGUCAUGAGCCAAAGAACAGACCUAAUGUAGAGGAGACUCUUUGCCACCCAUUUUUUUUGGACAGAUGCAUGGAAAGUGGAGUACUUAAAAAGACUGGGGAAUGAAAAGGAGGUUGUGAACUGCCGCAACGCUGAGCCAGACCUUCUUUCUGCAUUUACAGUGGAGAAAAGCUUCUUAGAGUGGAAAACAAAAUUUCCCUGUGAGCUUGUACAAAAAUUGGAAGGUAAGAAAAAGCCGUAUCCGGAGAACACACUGGGGCUGCUGCGCUUCAUACGGAAUCUGCACGAACAUCACAUUGAGGAUGCAGAGAAGUUCAACUUGAUGACAUUAUUCCCUGACCUUUUUGGAAACGCUUUCAAGUUUGCUAAAAAAAGAGGAUGGAACUCCAGACCAAGUCUGACAAAAUAUUUUGUUACAGUACCAGCAAUUUAACAGGAAAUAACUGAAAAGCAUGAAAUAUUCAGAAAUGUCAUCAGUUUGUGUGUUUGGAUUAUAAGAGAAUAUUUCAUGUUAGAAAUGUGAUUUAUUUUCUGGAGUGCUAAAAUGUGCACUGCAUUGGUGCAGUCAAAUCAGUUCUCACCACUAUGUGUAUAUCAUCUAAAAAUUAUUUAUACUGGGAUACUGGGGGACAUGACCACUUAUAAAAUGUCUAAUUUAUCAGGAUCUGGAGGUUGCUACCAUUUUUUCUUUGGGUUUCUCUGUUUUCUGCACCAGAUGUCACCAUUGUGAAUGUUUUUUAUUAGUUUCCUAUUGUUUCCAUUUGAGCCUUGUUAGCCCUGUGUGUAUUUAAAUUCCCCUUGUGUGGCAAUCAUUUGGCUUUAUUGUUAAAGUUGUGUGGUUUGUUUCCUGUGAUUAUUUUACGUUACUAUUAUUUUAUUUUUUUUGCAUUUCUGAGACAGACUUUUGUUCUUAAGAUUUUUCCUAAGUUCCUGAUGAGUUUUUUUUUUAUUUUUUAUUUUUUUACCUUUUUUGAAUUUUGCCUGUCUUUUGUUUUUCUACUUUGCUGUAUUUUUGGGGACCUACGAUUGUGAAUUAAAUUUUCUCUUUCAUUUUCGUUG